This 384-nucleotide ribosomal RNA is filed under the name uncultured bacterium. RNAcentral describes it as "bacterial SSU rRNA". It matches the Rfam family "Bacterial small subunit ribosomal RNA", at positions 30 to 414 of the family's 1533-position model. The record is from RNAcentral.
AUUGAACGCUGGCGGCAUGCUUUACACAUGCAAGUCGAACGGCAGCACGGGGGUAACCCUGGUGGCGAGUGGCGAACGGGUGAGUAAUGCAUCGGAACAUAUCUUAAAGUGGGGAAUAACGCAUCGAAAGGUGUGCUAAUACUCCAUAUACUCUAAGGAGGAAAGCGGGGGAUCGAAAGACCUCGUGCUUUAAGGGUGGCCGAUGUCUGAUUAGCUAGUUGGUGGGGUAAAGGCUUACCAAGGCGACGAUCAGUAGCUGGUCUGAGAGGACGAUCAGCCACACUGGGACUGAGACACGGCCCAGACUCCUACGGGAGGCAGCAGUGGGGAAUUUUGGACAAUGGGGGCAACCCUGAUCCAGCCAUGCCGCGUGAGUGAAGAAGG